CGGCGGACGGGUGAGUAAUGCCUAGGAAUCUGCCUGGUAGUGGGGGACGAACGUUUCGAAAGGAACGCUAUACCGCAUACGUCCUACGGGAGAAAGCAGGGACCUUCGGGCCUUGCGCUAUCAGAUGAGCCUAGGUCGGAUUAGCUAGUUGGUGAGGUAAUGGCUCACCAAGGCGACGAUCCGUAACUGGUCUGAGAGGAUGAUCAGUCACACUGGAACUGAGACACGGUCCAGACUCCUACGGGAGGCAGCAGAC
RNAcentral lists this ribosomal RNA (256 nucleotides) under uncultured Pseudomonas sp. Its description in RNAcentral is "partial 16S ribosomal RNA". It matches the Rfam family "Bacterial small subunit ribosomal RNA", at positions 96 to 354 of the family's 1533-position model. Lineage: Bacteria; Pseudomonadati; Pseudomonadota; Gammaproteobacteria; Pseudomonadales; Pseudomonadaceae. The record is from RNAcentral.